Molecule: ribosomal RNA, 265 nt
Filed under: uncultured Staphylococcus sp.
Lineage: Bacteria; Bacillati; Bacillota; Bacilli; Caryophanales; Staphylococcaceae
Description: partial 16S ribosomal RNA
Rfam family: Bacterial small subunit ribosomal RNA
Source: RNAcentral
CGGCGGACGGGUGAGUAACACGUGGAUAACCUACCUAUAAGACUGGGAUAACUUCGGGAAACCGGAGCUAAUACCGGAUAAUANAUUGAACCGCAUGGUUCAAUAGUGAAAGACGGUUUUGCUGUCACUUAUAGAUGGAUCCGCGCCGCAUUAGCUAGUUGGUAAGGUAACGGCUUACCAAGGCAACGAUGCGUAGCCGACCUGAGAGGGUGAUCGGCCACACUGGAACUGAGACACGGUCCAGACUCCUACGGGAGGCAGCAGC